AAGAUUUUAAGUUAAACAAACUAGAAGCCUUCAAAGCUUAAAAUAAAAAUUUUUUAAAUCUUA
Molecule: transfer RNA, 63 nt
Filed under: Potamiscus yongshengensis
Lineage: Eukaryota; Metazoa; Arthropoda; Malacostraca; Decapoda; Potamidae
Description: tRNA-Trp
Source: RNAcentral